GGGACACGUGGUAUCCUGUCUGAAUAUGGGGGGACCAUCCUCCAAGGCUAAAUACUCCUGACUGACCGAUAGUGAACCAGUACCGUGAGGGAAAGGCGAAAAGAACCCCGGCGAGGGGAGUGAAAAAGAACCUGAAACCGUGUACGUACAAGCAGUGGGAGCACGCUUAGGCGUGUGACUGCGUACCUUUUGUAUAAUGGGUCAGCGACUUAUAUUCUGUAGCAAGGUUAACCGAAUAGGGGAGCCGAAGGGAAACCGAGUCUUAACUGGGCGUUAAGUUGCAGGGUAUAGACCCGAAACCCGGUGAUCUAGCCAUGGGCAGGUUGAAGGUUGGGUAACACUAACUGGAGGACCGAACCGACUAAUGUUGAAAAAUUAGCGGAUGACUUGUGGCUGGGGGUGAAAGGCCAAUCAAACCGGGAGAUAGCUGGUUCUCCCCGAAAGCUAUUUAGGUAGCGCCUCGUGAAUUCAUCUCCGGGGGUAGAGCACUGUUUCGGCAAGGGGGUCAUCCCGACUUACCAACCCGAUGCAAACUGCGAAUACCGGAGAAUGUUAUCACGGGAGACACACGGCGGGUGCUAACGUCCGUCGUGAAGAGGGAAACAACCCAGACCGCCAGCUAAGGUCCCAAAGUCAUGGUUAAGUGGGAAACGAUGUGGGAAGGCCCAGACAGCCAGGAUGUUGGCUUAGAAGCAGCCAUCAUUUAAAGAAAGCGUAAUAGCUCACUGGUCGAGUCGGCCUGCGCGGAAGAUGUAACGGGGCUAAACCAUGCACCGAAGCUGCGGCAGCGACACUAUGUGUUGUUGGGUAGGGGAGCGUUCUGUAAGCCUGUGAAGGUGUGCUGUGAGGCAUGCUGGAGGUAUCAGAAGUGCGAAUGCUGACAUAAGUAACGAUAAAGCGGGUGAAAAGCCCGCUCGCCGGAAGACCAAGGGUUCCUGUCCAACGUUAAUCGGGGCAGGGUGAGUCGACCCCUAAGGCGAGGCCGAAAGGCGUAGUCGAUGGGAAACAGGUUAAUAUUCCUGUACUUGGUGUUACUGCGAAGGGGGGACGGAGAAGGCUAUGUUGGCCGGGCGACGGUUGUCCCGGUUUAAGCGUGUAGGCUGGUUUUCCAGGCAAAUCCGGAAAAUCAAGGCUGAGGCGUGAUGACGAGGCACUACGGUGCUGAAGCAACAAAUGCCCUGCUUCCAGGAAAAGCCUCUAAGCAUCAGGUAACAUCAAAUCGUACCCCAAACCGACACAGGUGGUCAGGUAGAGAAUACCAAGGCGCUUGAGAGAACUCGGGUGAAGGAACUAGGCAAAAUGGUGCCGUAACUUCGGGAGAAGGCACGCUGAUAUGUAGGUGAAGUCCCUCGCGGAUGGAGCUGAAAUCAGUCGAAGAUACCAGCUGGCUGCAACUGUUUAUUAAAAACACAGCACUGUGCAAACACGAAAGUGGACGUAUACGGUGUGACGCCUGCCCGGUGCCGGAAGGUUAAUUGAUGGGGUU
RNAcentral lists this ribosomal RNA (1486 nucleotides) under Escherichia coli. Its description in RNAcentral is "partial 23S ribosomal RNA". It matches the Rfam family "Bacterial large subunit ribosomal RNA", at positions 419 to 1891 of the family's 2925-position model. The record is from RNAcentral. Lineage: Bacteria; Pseudomonadati; Pseudomonadota; Gammaproteobacteria; Enterobacterales; Enterobacteriaceae.